Molecule: ribosomal RNA, 253 nt
Filed under: uncultured bacterium
Lineage: Bacteria
Description: partial 16S ribosomal RNA
Rfam family: Bacterial small subunit ribosomal RNA
Source: RNAcentral
UACGUAGGGGGCAAGCGUUGUCCGGAUUUAUUGGGCGUAAAGAGCGUGUAGGCGGUCUGGUAGGUCCGCUGUGAAAACUCGAGGCUCAACCUCGAGACGCCGGUGGAAACCAUCAGACUAGAGUCCGGAAGAGGAGAGUGGAAUUCCUGGUGUAGCGGCGAAAUGCGCAGAUAUCAGGAAGAACACCCGUGGCUAAGGCGGCUCUCUAGUACGGUACUGACGCUGAGACGCGAAAGCGUGGGGAGCGAACAGG